RNAcentral lists this ribosomal RNA (533 nucleotides) under Apiomerus pictipes. RNAcentral's name for it is "partial 16S ribosomal RNA". It matches the Rfam family "Bacterial large subunit ribosomal RNA", at positions 1807 to 2612 of the family's 2925-position model. The record is from RNAcentral. Lineage: Eukaryota; Metazoa; Arthropoda; Insecta; Hemiptera; Reduviidae.
UCAAAAACAUGUCCUUUUGCUUUUAUAUAAGGUCUGACCUGCCCAAUGAUUAUUAUUUAAUGGCCGCGGUAUUUUAACUGUGCUAAGGUAGCAUAAUCAUUUGUCUUUUAAUUGAAGGCUGGUAUGAAUGGUUGGACGAGGCAUAGUCUUUCUUUAAUUUAAUUUAUGAACUUAAUUUCUUAGUUAAAAAGCUAAGAUUUAUUUGUUGGACGAGAAGACCCUAUAGAUCUUUAUAUUUAAUUGUAGUUAAGUAAUUUGGUUUAUUUAUUACUUUAAUUAAUUUAAGUAUUUGGUUGGGGUGACUAUAGAAUUUCAUUAACUUCUAUUUUUAUUUUUCAUUGAUUUAUGUAUUUUUGAUCCAUUAUUAGUGAUUACAAGAUUAAGUUACCUUAGGGAUAACAGCGUAAUUUUUUUGGAGAGUUCAUAUCGAUAAAGAAGUUUGCGACCUCGAUGUUGGAUUAAAAUAAGUGGUAAGUGCAGCAGCUUAUUGACUGGGUCUGUUCGACCUUUAAUUUUUUACAUGAUCUGAGUUC